AGUGGCGAACGGGUGAGUAAUGCAUCGGAACGUGCCCAGUCGUGGGGGAUAACGCAGCGAAAGCUGCGCUAAUACCGCAUACGAUCUGCGGAUGAAAGCGGGGGACCUUCGGGCCUCGCGCGAUUGGAGCGGCCGAUGUCAGAUUAGGUAGUUGGUGGGGUAAAGGCCCACCAAGCCGACGAUCUGUAGCUGGUCUGAGAGGACGACCAGCCACAUUGGGACUGAGACACGGCCCAGACUCCUACGGGAGGCAGCAGUGGGGAAUUUUGGACAAUGGGCGCAAGCCUGAUCCAGCAAUGCCGCGUGCAGGAAGAAGGCCUUCGGGUUGUAAACUGCUUUUGUACGGAACGAAACGGCUCUGGUUAAUACCCGGGGCUAAUGACGGUACCGUAAGAAUAAGCACCGGCUAACUACGUGCCAGCAGCCGCGGUAAUACGUAGGGUGCAAGCGUUAAUCGGAAUUACUGGGCGUAAAGCGUGCGCAGGCGGUUGUGUAAGACAGGCGUGAAAUCCCCGGGCUUAACCUGGGAAUGGCGCUUGUGACUGCACAGCUGGAGUGCGGCAGAGGGGGAUGGAAUUCCGCGUGUAGCAGUGAAAUGCGUAGAUAUGCGGAGGAACACCGAUGGCGAAGGCAAUCCCCUGGGCCUGCACUGACGCUCAUGCACAAAAGUGUGGGGAGCAAACAGGAUUAGAUACCCUGG
This 700-nucleotide ribosomal RNA is filed under the name uncultured bacterium. Its description in RNAcentral is "bacterial SSU rRNA". It matches the Rfam family "Bacterial small subunit ribosomal RNA", at positions 94 to 790 of the family's 1533-position model. The record is from RNAcentral.